This 1432-nucleotide ribosomal RNA is filed under the name uncultured organism. RNAcentral describes it as "SSU rRNA". It matches the Rfam family "Bacterial small subunit ribosomal RNA". The record is from RNAcentral.
GCUUAACACAUGCAAGUCGAGGGGCAGCAUGGUCUUAGCUUGCUAAGGCCGAUGGCGACCGGCGCACGGGUGAGUAACACGUAUCCAACCUGCCGUCUACUCUUGGACAGCCUUCUGAAAGGAAGAUUAAUACAAGAUGGCAUCAUGAGUCCGCAUGUUCACAUGAUUAAAGGUAUUCCGGUAGACGAUGGGGAUGCGUUCCAUUAGAUAGUAGGCGGGGUAACGGCCCACCUAGUCUUCGAUGGAUAGGGGUUCUGAGAGGAAGGUCCCCCACAUUGGAACUGAGACACGGUCCAAACUCCUACGGGAGGCAGCAGUGAGGAAUAUUGGUCAAUGGGCGAGAGCCUGAACCAGCCAAGUAGCGUGAAGGAUGACUGCCCUAUGGGUUGUAAACUUCUUUUAUAAAGGAAUAAAGUCGGGUAUGGAUACCCGUUUGCAUGUACUUUAUGAAUAAGGAUCGGCUAACUCCGUGCCAGCAGCCGCGGUAAUACGGAGGAUCCGAGCGUUAUCCGGAUUUAUUGGGUUUAAAGGGAGCGUAGAUGGAUGUUUAAGUCAGUUGUGAAAGUUUGCGGCUCAACCGUAAAAUUGCAGUUGAUACUGGAUAUCUUGAGUGCAGUUGAGGCAGGCGGAAUUCGUGGUGUAGCGGUGAAAUGCUUAGAUAUCACGAAGAACUCCGAUUGCGAAGGCAGCCUGCUAAGCUGCAACUGACAUUGAGGCUCGAAAGUGUGGGUAUCAAACAGGAUUAGAUACCCUGGUAGUCCACACGGUAAACGAUGAAUACUCGCUGUUUGCGAUAUACUGCAAGCGGCCAAGCGAAAGCGUUAAGUAUUCCACCUGGGGAGUACGCCGGCAACGGUGAAACUCAAAGGAAUUGACGGGGGCCCGCACAAGCGGAGGAACAUGUGGUUUAAUUCGAUGAUACGCGAGGAACCUUACCCGGGCUUAAAUUGCAGAUGAAUUACGGUGAAAGCCGUAAGCCGCAAGGCAUCUGUGAAGGUGCUGCAUGGUUGUCGUCAGCUCGUGCCGUGAGGUGUCGGCUUAAGUGUCAUAACGAGCGCAACCCUUGUUGUCAGUUACUAACAGGUUCCGCUGAGGACUCUGACAAGACUGCCAUCGUAAGAUGUGAGGAAGGUGGGGAUGACGUCAAAUCAGCACGGCCCUUACGUCCGGGGCUACACACGUGUUACAAUGGGGGGUACAGAGGGCCGCUACCACGCGAGUGGAUGCCAAUCCCCAAAACCUCUCUCAGUUCGGACUGGAGUCUGCAACCCGACUCCACGAAGCUGGAUUCGCUAGUAAUCGCGCAUCAGCCACGGCGCGGUGAAUACGUUCCCGGGCCUUGUACACACCGCCCGUCAAGCCAUGGGAGCCGGGGGUACCUGAAGUGCGUAACCGCGAGGAGCGCCCUAGGGUAAAACUGGUGACUGGGGCU